RNAcentral lists this ribosomal RNA (468 nucleotides) under uncultured bacterium. RNAcentral describes it as "partial 16S ribosomal RNA". It matches the Rfam family "Bacterial small subunit ribosomal RNA", at positions 28 to 507 of the family's 1533-position model. The record is from RNAcentral.
GACGAACGCUGGCGGCGUGCUUAACACAUGCAAGUCGAACGGAAAGGCCCUGCUUUUGGGGGGUGCUCGAGUGGCGAAAGGGUGAGUAACACGUGAGUAACCUGCCCUUGACUUUGGGAUAACUUCAGGAAACUGGGGCUAAUACCGGAGAGGAGCUCCUGCUGCGUGGUGGGGGGUGGGAAGUUUCGGCGGUUGGGGAUGGACUCGCGGCUGAUCAGCUUGUUGGUGGGGUAGUGGCUUACCAAGGCUUUGACGGGUAGCCGGCCUGAGAGGGUGACCGGCCACGUUGGGACUGAGAUCCGGCCCAGGCUGCUACGGGAGGCAGCAGUGGGGAAUAUUGCGCAAUGGGCGGAAGCCUGAUGCAGCAACGCCGCGUGCGGGAUGACGGCCUUCGGGUUGUAGGCCGCUUUCGCCUGUGACGAAGCGUGGGUGACGGUAAUGGGUAAAGAAGCACCGGCUAACUACGUG